UGGGGAAUUUUGGACAAUGGGCGAAAGCCUGAUCCAGCAAUGCCGCGUGUGUGAAGAAGGCCUUCGGGUUGUAAAGCACUUUUGUCCGGAAAGAAAUCCUUGGCUCUAAUACAGUCGGGGGAUGACGGUACCGGAAGAAUAAGCACCGGCUAACUACGUGCCAGCAGCCGCGGUAAUACGUAGGGUGCAAGCGUUAAUCGGAAUUACUGGGCGUAAAGCGUGCGCAGGCGGUUUGCUAAGACCGAUGUGAAAUCCCGGGCUCAACCUGGGAACUGCAUUGGUGACUGGCAGGCUAGAGUAUGGCAGAGGGGGGUAAAUUCCACGUGUAGCAGUGAAAUGCGUAGAGAUGUGGAGGAAUACCGAUGGCGAAGGAGCCCCCUGGGGCCAAUACUGACGCUCAUGCACGAAAGCGUGGGGAGCAAG
Molecule: ribosomal RNA, 423 nt
Filed under: uncultured bacterium
Lineage: Bacteria
Description: partial 16S ribosomal RNA
Rfam family: Bacterial small subunit ribosomal RNA
Source: RNAcentral